Long non-coding RNA from Mus musculus (house mouse), 1166 nucleotides. RefSeq annotates it as predicted gene, 41263. The transcript has 4 exons. The record is from RefSeq and is a predicted model, not a curated record. Lineage: Eukaryota; Metazoa; Chordata; Mammalia; Rodentia; Muridae.
CCAAACCCCAGGUUACUCUCCAGCUCCGAGGGAAGGUUAGCCAGAGCAGCUCAGCUUUCCAGUAAGACUUAACCUAAUUCCCCAGACAGAAAAGGGCUUAGUGAGAACAAGAUGAGCAUCAAAGCAGAGAUCAUCAGGAAUAUUUUCUCGUUAUUUAAUAAACAAAUGCCGAGACGUUUUAAGACAAACACCAGCUGCCCCGCACUGCUGUGAAUGUUGCAGAGAACACAGGGAUGUGGGACUGCUUCGUCUUGUGCUAUCUGGAGCCUGAGUUUAUGAGGGGCUGUGUGUUUAUCUCGGGAUUGGGAAUAUAACCAACUCCUGAUUACCUUACCAGGGCUAAUGGAUAGUCAUAAAUAUUCCAAGCAGCUGAAAAAAAAUCGAAGAAUAAUUUUUGCAGACACAUUUUUAAGCUGGGGAUGACCUUGAACGUCUGAGGAUGACCUGGAACGUCUGAGGAUGACCUGGAACGUCGUCUGGUCCUCACAGGUGCAGAGAUGACAGGAAGCUGAGGUAAAGAGAAGAUGCUGGAAAUGUGAGAGACAAGCUAGCAAAGUGGCCUCUGCAUCAGCUCCUGCCUCCAAGUCCCUGCCACAUCUGAGUUCCCGUCCUCACUUCCUCUGGUGAUGAAAUGUGAUAUGGAAACAUGGAGCACUGUAAGAUAUGUGGAUAACCGAUGAGUCCUGUCAACAACUCCAUACCCAAGCUUGCACAAGCACAUCUCCAUUUCCAACCUAAACCAAUCUGGGUGAUGAGGACAGAAGACUUUGAAUAUGGGUACAGUCUAAGUCCGUGAGGGAAAGAGGAGGAAGGCAUUCAUUUUUAUCAAGAGUCUAGGCUUAUCUUUUUCUGUCACAUAGGAAAGCAAGAUGAGAUGAAAAGAAGCAGAAAACAGAGAGAGCACGAACAGGGAAAGGAGGGGGAGGAGAGAAAGGAGACAGGGAAGCUGGUGGUAAGAAGGAGCAGUGGAGGGGGGGGGGGGGAGUUGGAAAAUGAGUCCCUGUCAUCAAGGGAAGGACAGAGUCCCAUUAGGAAAUCCAGGAGGCUGUAAUGCGGAGACUGGUGUUUCUCCAUCCAGGGAACUCAUAGUCUCCUCUCCAUCUCUACCCCCUCACUCUCUUUCCCUCUCUCCCUCCCUGCCCCCUCCACCUCUCCUCCUCCUCCUC